Molecule: long non-coding RNA, 292 nt
Organism: Cydia amplana
Lineage: Eukaryota; Metazoa; Arthropoda; Insecta; Lepidoptera; Tortricidae
Exons: 2
Source: RefSeq, a predicted model, not a curated record
UCGGAACCGGUUUUUUGCAAAAACUUAGAAAUAACCAUAUUUUUCGAAUUAUUUUAUAUUCGAAAUGUAGGACUCAGUUGUGUUUUUAGGUUACGACUUCGUAUUAUUAGAUUGCCCAAUUAGAAAUGAAGUAAUUAACAAAGAACGAAAAAAUACCGUUUCCGUUCCCAUACAAAAAAUACCGGUAUCCGAUCCCUGGUUUCAAAGCACGAGGGUUAAACAAAAUUUGCCCCCGAGUGAAACACAAAAUUAUUCACCACACCAACCCGAAGCAAAUAUUAACUGUAAGAUA